Molecule: ribosomal RNA, 253 nt
Filed under: uncultured bacterium
Lineage: Bacteria
Description: partial 16S ribosomal RNA
Rfam family: Bacterial small subunit ribosomal RNA
Source: RNAcentral
UACGGAGGGUGCGAGCGUUAAUCGGAAUAACUGGGCGUAAAGGGCACGCAGGCGGGUUUUCAAGUCAGAUGUGAAAUCCCGGGGCUUAACCUGGGAAUAGCAUUUGAGACUGGGAGGCUAGAGUGCUUUAGGGAGGGGUGGAAUUCCACGUGUAGCGGUGAAAUGCGUAGAGAUGUGGAGGAAUACCGAAGGCGAAGGCAGCCCCUUGGGAAUGUACUGACGCUCAUGUGCGAAAGCGUGGGGAGCAAACAGG